AUGUUUGGUGCCAUAAUUACAGUCCUACGAAGUAUAGCGAAUGAUCGUUCGGUGACACAAUAUUCCCGUGGAGAUGCUGGAGGCGCCCUAAGGAUAAUUGUUUCUUUUGAUUUUGUGUUCAUUUUGCACCUCGUGGAGAGGAUUAUGAAAAUCACAGAUGUCUUGUGCCAAACACUCUAGAAGAAAUCUAUGGACAUUUUGAAUGCAUUAGAUACACUCUCUAACACUAAGGUGCUCCUCGCUGAUCUAAGAGAGGAAGGAUGGGAACCUCUCAUAGAGGAGGUUAAGACCUUUUGUGUGAAGCAUGAAGUUGAGAUCCCCGAUAUGAGUCGCAAGUAUGUUGAUGUGACUAUGUCUCGGAAUAAACAUAAUAACAUCACGGUGCUUCACCACUACAAAGCAGAUGUGUUCAAUGUGGCGAUAGAUCAACAACUGGUUGAGCUAAAUGACCGUUUUAGCGUUCAGAUAACAGAGCUAAUGACAUUCUGUGCAUCCUUGGAUCCAAGGCAUGACUCGUUUGACAUAUCAAAGAUUUGCAUGCUUGUGGACAAAUUCUAUCCAGCGGAUUUUUCUAGUCAAGAGCAGGCUCGCCUGGAGUCACAACUUCCACACUAUCAGUUAGAUGUUUGCAACCAUCCAGAAUUAUUGCGCUUGGUCAUCACUCUCCCGGUGUCAACUGCAACUGCGGAGAGAGCUUUUUCAGCAAUGAAGAUUAUCAAGACACGUCUCCGAAGUAAAAUGGGUGACGAUUUUCUUCGACCUUACAUGGUUGUAUACAUUGGGAAGGAAAUAGCUGCAAAGUUCAAUGUUAAUGAGAUUAUUGAUUUGUUUGAUUGA
RNAcentral lists this ribosomal RNA (837 nucleotides) under Triticum aestivum (bread wheat). Its description in RNAcentral is "partial small subunit ribosomal RNA". Lineage: Eukaryota; Viridiplantae; Streptophyta; Magnoliopsida; Poales; Poaceae. The record is from RNAcentral.